This 460-nucleotide ribosomal RNA is filed under the name uncultured bacterium. RNAcentral's name for it is "partial 16S ribosomal RNA". It matches the Rfam family "Bacterial small subunit ribosomal RNA", at positions 338 to 795 of the family's 1533-position model. The record is from RNAcentral.
CCUACGGGUGGCAGCAGUGAGGAAUAUUGGUCAAUGGACGAGAGUCUGAACCAGCCAAGUAGCGUGAAGGAUGACUGCCCUAUGGGUUGUAAACUUCUUUUAUAUGGGAAUAAAACAGGGUAUGCAUACCCUCUCGUAUGUACCAUAUGAAUAAGGAUCGGCUAACUCCGUGCCAGCAGCCGCGGUAAUACGGAGGAUCCGAGCGUUAUCCGGAUUUAUUGGGUUUAAAGGGAGCGUAGGUGGAUUGUUAAGUCAGUUGUGAAAGUUUGCGGCUCAACCGUAGAAUUGCAGUUGAAACUGGCGGUCUUGAGUACAGUAGAGGUGGGCGGAAUUCGUGGUGUAGCGGUGAAAUGCUUAGAUAUCACGAAGAACUCCGAUUGCGAAGGCAGCUCACUGGACUGCAACUGACACUGAUGCUCGAAAGUGUGGGUAUCAAACAGGAUUAGAUACCCUGGUAGUC